GCCUAUGAAACUGAUAGAUAGACAUGUUUGCAUUCAUGAUAGACCAGAGAUCAGGGAUUAGAUAAGAAGAAAGAAUAACAGAGAUGAGGCAAAGGAUAAAAGGAAAAAAAUAUUGUUUUUUUAUUAUUUUUAGAAAAAUGAUUAAGCUAGUUCGUAGUCAAAUCAGCCACCGUCUCCCCGGCAACGGCACCAAAAAGCUUGUUGACACUUGCUAACACCACUUGAAUACUAGGU
RNAcentral lists this long non-coding RNA (234 nucleotides) under Sorghum bicolor (sorghum). Its description in RNAcentral is "long non-coding RNA (SBIC_LNC002816)". Lineage: Eukaryota; Viridiplantae; Streptophyta; Magnoliopsida; Poales; Poaceae. The record is from RNAcentral.